UACGAAGGGGGCUAGCGUUGCUCGGAAUCAUUGGGCGUAAAGGGCGCGUAGGCGGCCAGAUUUGUCAGGCGUGAAAAUCCUGGGCUCAACCCAGGGACUGCGUUUGAAACGGUCUGGCUAGAGGACGGAAGAGGCUCGUGGAACUCCCAGUGUAGAGGUGAAAUUCGUAGAUAUUGGGAAGAACACCGGUGGCGAAGGCGGCGAGCUGGUCCGUUACUGACGCUGAGGCGCGACAGCGUGGGGAGCAAACAGG
RNAcentral lists this ribosomal RNA (253 nucleotides) under uncultured bacterium. RNAcentral's name for it is "partial 16S ribosomal RNA". It matches the Rfam family "Bacterial small subunit ribosomal RNA", at positions 524 to 776 of the family's 1533-position model. The record is from RNAcentral.